RNAcentral lists this transfer RNA (63 nucleotides) under Desis jiaxiangi. RNAcentral's name for it is "tRNA-Leu". Lineage: Eukaryota; Metazoa; Arthropoda; Arachnida; Araneae; Desidae. The record is from RNAcentral.
AUCUAUAUGGCAGAUCAGUGCAUUAAGUUUAAGCCUUAAAAACAAAAAUACACUCCAUUGAAA